This 1440-nucleotide ribosomal RNA is filed under the name uncultured organism. Its description in RNAcentral is "partial small subunit ribosomal RNA". It matches the Rfam family "Bacterial small subunit ribosomal RNA". The record is from RNAcentral.
GGCGGCGUGCUUAACACAUGCAAGUCGAACGGAAAGGCCCUGCUUUUGUGGGGUGCUCGAGUGGCGAACGGGUGAGUAACACGUGAGUAACCUGCCCUUGACUUUGGGAUAACUUCAGGAAACUGGGGCUAAUACCGGAUAGGAGCUCCUGCUGCAUGGUGGGGGUUGGAAAGUUUCGGCGGUUGGGGAUGGACUCGCGGCUUAUCAGCUUGUUGGUGGGGUAGUGGCUUACCAAGGCUUUGACGGGUAGCCGGCCUGAGAGGGUGACCGGCCACAUUGGGACUGAGAUACGGCCCAGACUCCUACGGGAGGCAGCAGUGGGGAAUAUUGCACAAUGGGCGGAAGCCUGAUGCAGCAACGCCGCGUGCGGGAUGACGGCCUUCGGGUUGUAAACCGCUUUCGCCUGUGACGAAGCGUGAGUGACGGUAAUGGGUAAAGAAGCACCGGCUAACUACGUGCCAGCAGCCGCGGUGAUACGUAGGGUGCGAGCGUUGUCCGGAUUUAUUGGGCGUAAAGGGCUCGUAGGUGGUUGAUCGCGUCGGAAGUGUAAUCUUGGGGCUUAACCCUGAGCGUGCUUUCGAUACGGGUUGACUUGAGGAAGGUAGGGGAGAAUGGAAUUCCUGGUGGAGCGGUGGAAUGCGCAGAUAUCAGGAGGAACACCAGUGGCGAAGGCGGUUCUCUGGGCCUUUCCUGACGCUGAGGAGCGAAAGCGUGGGGAGCGAACAGGCUUAGAUACCCUGGUAGUCCACGCUGUAAACGGUGGGUACUAGGUGUGGGGUCCAUUCCACGGGUUCCGUGCCGUAGCUAACGCUUUAAGUACCCCGCCUGGGGAGUACGGCCGCAAGGCUAAAACUCAAAGGAAUUGACGGGGCCCCGCACAAGCGGCGGAGCAUGCGGAUUAAUUCGAUGCAACGCGUAGAACCUUACCUGGGUUUGACAUGGAUCGGGAGUGCUCAGAGAUGGGUGUGCCUCUUUUGGGGUCGGUUCACAGGUGGUGCAUGCCUGUCGUCAGCUCGUGUCGUGAGAUGUUGGGUUAAGUCCCGCAACGAGCGCAACCCUUGUUCACUGUUGCCAGCACGUUAUGGUGGGGACUCAGUGGAGACCGCCGGGGUCAACUCGGAGGAAGGUGGGGAUGACGUCAAGUCCUCAUGCCCCUUAUGUCCAGGGCUUCACGCAUGCUACAAUGGCUGGUACAGAGAGUGGCGAGCCUGUGAGGGUGAGCGAAUCUCGGAAAGCCGGUCUCAGUUCGGAUUGGGGUCUGCAACUCGACCUCAUGAAGUCGGAGUCGCUAGUAAUCGCAGAUCAGCAACGCUGCGGUGAAUACGUUCCCGGGGCUUGUACACACCGCCCGUCAAGUCAUGAAAGUUGGUAACACCCGAAGCCGGUGGCCUAACCAUUGUGGGGGAGCCGUCGAAGGUGGGACUGGUGAUUAGGACUAAA